Molecule: ribosomal RNA, 873 nt
Filed under: Richtersius cf. coronifer
Lineage: Eukaryota; Metazoa; Tardigrada; Eutardigrada; Parachela; Richtersiusidae
Description: SSU rRNA
Rfam family: Eukaryotic small subunit ribosomal RNA
Source: RNAcentral
CUUGCUAUAACAAGGCGAAACCGCGAAUGGCUCAUUAAAUCAGUUAUGGUUCACUAGAUCGUACAGUUUACACGGAUAACUGUGGUAAUUCUAGAGCUAAUACGUGCAAUCAGCUCGCUUCCUUGUGAAGCGAGCGCAGUUAUUAGAACAAGACCAAUCCGGCCUUCGGGUCGGUACAAUUGGUGACUCUGAAUAACCGAAGCGGAGCGCAUGGUCUCGUACCGGCGCCAGAUCUUUCAAGUGUCUGACUUAUCAGCUUGUUGUUAGGUUAUGUUCCUAACAAGGCGUUUACGGGUAACGGGGUAUCAGGGUCCGAUACCGGAGAGGGAGCCUGAGAAACGGCUACCACAUCUAAGGAAGGCAGCAGGCGCGCAAAUUACCCACUCCCGGCACGGGGAGGUAGUGACGAAAAAUAACGAUGCGAGAGCUAUAAAGUUUCUCGUAAUCGGAAUGGGUACACUUUAAAUCCUUUAACGAGGAUCUAUUGGAGGGCAAGUCUGGUGCCAGCAGCCGCGGUAAUUCCAGCUCCAAUAGCGUAUAUUAAAGUUGCUGCGGUUAAAAAGCUCGUAGUUGGAUCUGGGUAGCUGGACGGAUGGUAUGCUUUACUGUGUUACUGUCUGUUCGGCACCACAAGCCGGUCAUGUCUUGCAUGCUCUUCACUGAGUGUGCUUGGCGGCCGGAACGUUUACUUUGAAAAAAUUAGAGUGCUCAAAGCAGGCGUACGGCCUUGCAUAAUGGUGCAUGGAAUAAUGGAAUAGGACCUCGGUUCUAUUUUGUUGGUUUUCGGAACUCGAGGUAAUGAUUAAUAGGAACAGACGGGGGCAUUCGUAUUGCGGCGUUAGAGGUGAAAUUCUUGGAUCGUCGCAAGACGAA